Molecule: ribosomal RNA, 406 nt
Filed under: uncultured bacterium
Lineage: Bacteria
Description: partial 16S ribosomal RNA
Rfam family: Bacterial small subunit ribosomal RNA
Source: RNAcentral
AUUGAACGCUGGCGGCAGGCCUAACACAUGCAAGUCGAACGAGUGGCGGACGGGUGAGUAAUGUCUGGGAAACUGCCUGAUGGAGGGGGAUACCUACUGGCAACGGUAGCUAAUACCGCAUACCAUCGGAUGUGCCCCGCUGGGAUUAGCUAGUAGGUGGGGUAACGGCUCACCUAGGCGCAGGUCCCUAGCUGGUCUGAGAGGAGGACAAGCCACACUGUAACUGAGACACGUUCAAGACUGUGAAGGGAGGCAGGAGUUGGGAAUAGUGCACAAGGGGCGCAAGCCUGAUGCAGCCAUGCCGCGUGUAUGAAGAAGGCCUUCGGGUUUUAAAGUACUUUCAGCGAGGAGGCGUUACUCGCAGAAGAAGCACCGGCUAACUCCGUGCCAGCAGCCGCGGUAAUAC